CCCAGACAGCCAGGAUGUUGGCUUAGAAGCAGCCAUCAUUUAAAGAAAGCGUAAUAGCUCACUGGUCGAGUCGGCCUGCGCGGAAGAUGUAACGGGGCUAAACCAUGCACCGAAGCUGCGGCAGCGAACGUAUCACUUAAAGCGAUUCAGCGGGUUACGAUUGACGGAGCGAAGCGACGUCAAAGCGUAUACAAAGUCGAGUCGGUUUAAGGAUACGUUCGUUGGGUAGGGGAGCGUUCUGUAAGCCUGUGAAGGUGGCCUGUGAGGGUUGCUGGAGGUAUCAGAAGUGCGAAUGCUGACAUAAGUAACGAUAAUGCGGGUGAAAAACCCGCACGCCGGAAGACUAAGGGUUCCUGUCCAACGUUAAUCGGGGCAGGGUGAGUCGACCCCUAAGGCGAGGCCGAAAGGCGUAGUCGAUGGGAAACAGGUUAAUAUUCCUGUACUGGGUGUUACUGCGAAGGGGGGACGGAGAAGGCUAUGUUAGCCGGGCGACGGUUGUCCCGGUUUAAGCAUGUAGGCGGAGCGUUCAGGUAAAUCCGGACGCUUACUAACGCUGAGGUGUGAUGACGAGGCACUACGGUGCUGAAGUAACAAAUGCCCUGCUUCCAGGAAAAGCCUCUAAGCAUCAGGUAACAUCAAAUCGUACCCCAAACCGACACAGGUGGUCAGGUAGAGAAUACCAAGGCGCUUGAGAGAACUCGGGUGAAGGAACUAGG
RNAcentral lists this ribosomal RNA (716 nucleotides) under Salmonella enterica subsp. enterica serovar Glostrup. RNAcentral describes it as "bacterial LSU rRNA". It matches the Rfam family "Bacterial large subunit ribosomal RNA", at positions 1084 to 1717 of the family's 2925-position model. The record is from RNAcentral. Lineage: Bacteria; Pseudomonadati; Pseudomonadota; Gammaproteobacteria; Enterobacterales; Enterobacteriaceae.